Molecule: transfer RNA, 77 nt
Filed under: Fulvimonas soli
Lineage: Bacteria; Pseudomonadati; Pseudomonadota; Gammaproteobacteria; Lysobacterales; Rhodanobacteraceae
Also listed under: 3 other names
Description: tRNA-Pro
Rfam family: tRNA
About the family: Transfer RNA (tRNA) molecules are approximately 80 nucleotides in length. Their secondary structure includes four short double-helical elements and three loops (D, anti-codon, and T loops).
Source: RNAcentral
CGGGGUGUAGCGCAGCCUGGUAGCGCAUCUGCCUGGGGGGCAGGGGGUCGUGGGUUCGAAUCCCGCCACCCCGACCA